AUUGAACGCUGGCGGCAUGCUUUACACAUGCAAGUCGAACGGCAGCACGGGGGCAACCCUGGUGGCGCGUGGCGCACGGGUGAGUAAUACAUCGGAACGUGCCCGGUCGUGGGGGAUAACGUAGCGAAAGUUACGCUAAUACCGCAUACGAUCUGAGGAUGAAAGCGGGGGACCUUCGGGCCUCGCGCGAUCGGAGCGGCCGAUGUCAGAUUAGGUAGUUGGUGGGGUAAAGGCCUACCAAGCCGACGAUCUGUAGCUGGUCUGAGAGGACGACCAGCCACACUGGGACUGAGACACGGCCCAGACUCCUACGGGAGGCAGCAGUGGGGAAUUUUGGACAAUGGGCGCAAGCCUGAUCCAGCCAUUCCGCGUGCAGGACGAAGGCCUUCGGGUUGUAAACUGCUUUUGUAUGGAACGAAAAGGCUCUGGCUAAUACCUGGGGCUCAUGACGGUACCGUAAGAAUAAGCACCGGCUAACUACGUG
RNAcentral lists this ribosomal RNA (484 nucleotides) under uncultured bacterium. RNAcentral's name for it is "partial 16S ribosomal RNA". It matches the Rfam family "Bacterial small subunit ribosomal RNA", at positions 30 to 507 of the family's 1533-position model. The record is from RNAcentral.